ACCUGGAGCCGGUAGUUUUCAAGCAGUUUUUAUGCCCCAAGCAGUUUUACGCCCCUGUUGUUCUUCAUGCGUCCAGUAGGGGGAGGCUGUAUAUUAGUAUAUGAGCCUAGUCAUCAAAACAGCAGACCAUAUCUGUAUGAUGGCAGCAGACAUUUUUUGAAGCAAUACGAAUUGAGGUAUGUAAAUAAGUUAUUGUUGUUGAUUGUAUUGUAAUGAUGCAACAUUUAUUAUUUAUAAACGAUUGAUGCGAUAUCAAUUCAAAAGAUGGGUCAGUAAUUUAUUUCGAGAGGCAAAAGUACUUGAUUGAGUCAGUCUGUCUGACUCAAACUUAGCUAACCACGUGUAGGUUAAGCUGCCCCUAGUCUUCUCUUUACCCGCUCUGUCUCACUCACUUUUAAAAUUAAUUACAUUUUUAUUUUUAUCUUGUUGUCUGUCUUUAGCUUGCGUUACAUGGCUUCUUCUGGUAAGUGAGCUUUUCUAUUUUCUUCCUUAGAAGGUUGCUAUAAAGUUUAUUGCUGGUCAUUAAAUUCUAACAAUACAACUUAAAUACUAAUCCUGUAACAUUACAAUUUCUGUUAGCUUGACAUGCUUGCAAUCAGGGAGUGGUGGUGUCUACGUCUAAUUGAGCGGUUUGAGACAGAGGGGAGUUUUCCAGGACUAACACAUGACUUGCCACAACAUGUUGUUGCCAGGAGGAACCGAAAGUUAUCCAACCAGGCUCUGGUGGACUUCAUUGUGGCAAGAGGAACCGAUAACCACAUUCAGUCCAUCAUCAAUGGACA
Molecule: long non-coding RNA, 782 nt
Organism: Carassius auratus (goldfish)
Lineage: Eukaryota; Metazoa; Chordata; Actinopteri; Cypriniformes; Cyprinidae
Exons: 3
Source: RefSeq, a predicted model, not a curated record